RNAcentral lists this small nucleolar RNA (79 nucleotides) under Olea europaea subsp. europaea. The record is from RNAcentral. Lineage: Eukaryota; Viridiplantae; Streptophyta; Magnoliopsida; Lamiales; Oleaceae.
AAGAGGCGUGAGGAUGCUAAUCCACCUAUUCUGCAAUUGAUUGAUGAUUAUAACAACAUGCACUACCAUCUGAUCUCUG